RNAcentral lists this ribosomal RNA (245 nucleotides) under uncultured bacterium. RNAcentral's name for it is "partial 16S ribosomal RNA". It matches the Rfam family "Bacterial small subunit ribosomal RNA", at positions 524 to 768 of the family's 1533-position model. The record is from RNAcentral.
UACGGAGGGUGCAAGCGUUGCUCGGAAUUAUUGGGCGUAAAGCGCGUGUAGGCGGUUAUCUAAGUCUGAUGUGAAAUCCCGGGGCUUAACUCCGGAACUGCAUUGGAUACUGGAUAGCUAGAGGACGAGAGAGGAUGGUGGAAUUCCUGGUGUAGGGGUGAAAUCCGUAGAUAUCAGGAGGAACAUCGGUGGCGAAGGCGGCCAUCUGGCUCGUACCUGACGCUGAGACGCGAAAGCGUGGGGAG